ACCAUUCAGUAGUCUGUGAUGGCUUUUAAAAUUGAAUAGACCAACAAAAGAUGAAAUAGAUGUACUGAAAAAAAAGCUUUAUUAACAUAACAGACAAUUGCAAAUCUGCCAAUCAUUUCUAUUCUCAAAUGUAUCCUUUCAAUCUAAUACACUUCAUAUCUCCCUGAAGAGAAUAGUGAAAAAACGACAAACCACAUCAGAUGCCUGAGUAAAAUAUAUUUUAAAAAAAAACAGUAAUACACUUCAAAACAGAGGAAGGAGAUACCAUGGAUGAUUGUGACGCUUCUGUAUCAAUACCUAAAGGUCUUUACAUGAUUCCUGCAUUGGAGCUCUGACAUAAUGUGUGUUCCACCUAUGCAUAUUUUAACUAUGAUAGCACAGACUUUAAAUGAAGACAAAAUAUAGGGCAUGGGGGAGCUGCCUGGCAAAUACACAUAGAAAUACAGAGCUCAUGCUUAAUGGCAUAAUGGCAGUAUUUGUGUGAGAAUAGGUGUCUUUAGCAUACAAAAAUAGAGCAUCAAAUAAACAACAUCAGCAAAGGGGCACCUUUUUCCAGUAUAAACUGAUCAUCUAACUUGCAUCCUACUGUAGGUAUCAUUGAUGUACUUUCAUGUAGUCUACCUAAACUACACAGAUCUGUUGUCUACUGUGAGUAACCCAUUCAAAUAUCUUCCCAUGCCUCAGACAAGACUUGCUGACCAACAGUAAUAUAGUAAUUUAUAUAUUAAAAAAUUGUCACUAAAAGUCACUUGCUCUCGGCCUGUAUAUAUUGUGGAGGGAGCCGCUGUUGGCCCAGGUGUGGAGACCAGACUAACGGCCCAGGUGUGGAGACCAGACUAACGGCCAAAGGUUCAAUGUAUGACUGUCUUAUCCGGUGCCCAGGUGAGACUGCUUGGAUGGUUGAAACUAUCUCUUGACCAAUCUAACUCCAGUUAUUUAUUCACCACCCCUGUUUCAGUCGUGGCUAGAUAUUAACGGAGUGAUAGUUAAUAAUGUUAUUUCUCUUUUAGAAUUUACUACAAGGAUUUACUGUAUCUGAGUUCACAAAGGAGCCACUUACAGGCAUUCAAACAAUUCACGCAUUGCAAAUUCAAAGAUGUUUUCUAACAUGAUUACGCAAUGAUUAAGCUAAGCCAGCAAAAUGAUAUCAACCCCCAAUGUACUGACGCCCUCUACUCACUAAAUAGAUUUCACCCCUAAAAUGUGGCCAGGUGUGACCCCAGAAUGACCUGUGCCCAGGAGAAGGAAGAGGGGCAUGACCCCUGAAUGACCUGUGCCCAGGAGAAGGGAGAGGGGCAUGACCCCAGAAUGACCUGUGCCCAGGAGAAGGGAGUGGGGCAUGACCCCAGAAUGACCUGUGCCCAGGAGAAGGGAGUGGGGCAUGACCCCUGAAUGACCUGUGCCCAUGAGAAGGGAGAGGGGCAUGACCCCAGAAUGACCUGUGCCCAGGAGAAGGGAGAGGGGCAUGGGAGAGUGAGGGGGGUCAGGAGGCAAGCAAUGCCCAUCAGCUCACACAAACGUCACCAGACAGAGGUGCAUUAGAAAAUAAAUAAAUAAAUAUUCUUGACUGUUACAAUAAAUGGCGGGACUCAUUUUACGCCUCAAAUGUAAACACACUCCAGUCAUACAUAAUGAUAAAAAAAAACGUAAGUAUAAAAGUAUAAAACAAAUAUCUCUUCUCACAAAGUAUGUAUAAAACUAAAUACCUCUUCUCAUAAAAGAGGAAAAGAGGACAUUCACUUGGCCAACUGCUGUCUCACUCACACAGCACACUUGCAAUACUAAAACUUUUACAAAUAUGUUAUGGUUUUCAAUGUUACUAUUAUUAUGCUAUCGUUAUACAUCAAUUAUGAAGGUAUUGAAUGAAAUGUGGACUCUAGACUCCAACUUUACAUGUCUGCAUCUGCAUGUAUAUGGUGGUUACUCACUGACAGAAAGAAGCAUAAGGCACCUCUACUGUUCAAUAAGAGUCUCUCACAUAAUAUACAGCAUACACGUCCACAGAUGUCAUACUGCUUCUCAAAAUGGCUUUGUCAGGUUCCUCCUCUUCAGCUCAUUCCUGCUCAGAGGCGCACAUCCAGAAAAGUGGGCUCUGCAACAAGAAGCCAUAACAAACUUUAUGAAACAAUGUUUUUUUCUUCAUGGUCAUUAUAUCCUACAUACAAUUUACCAAAGAUGAACUGGGACAUUGAAGCUGAAUCACUUGAUACAACAUAUGAAAUAUCAUUACCACUCCCUUGGGAGACGGAUUACUUCCUCUGUCCAUUGUUUGGUACAGUGUUUUCAAAUAUGUACUGGCAUUUCUUUUCUGCAGCUCAGGGUGUCUUUUUCAGUAGAAAAUAUACCAUAUGUAUCCAAAAAAGGAGAAGGUAGCAUUGGAGACACGUAUGAUGUUCGACUCAGAGCACAGUGAACUAUAUGACAUGACGGCUAAACUGUAUCACCAAUAUUAAUUUGGUGUUUGUAGUUAAUGUAGUUCCUUUAUAAUCACAGAUUAUAAAGGAAAGAGCCAUCAAGCAGAGGUCUCUGUUUCUCUUGCAGAAGAGCUGAACACCUUUUAUGCUCGAUUUGAGUCUCACACCAGGUCAGAGGUACUGCUGGAGCAAGACAUCUGCCCUCUUCAGGUAUCUGUGACUGAUGUGUGCAAGUCAUUCAGGAGAGUGAAUGUGCAUAAAGCUCCAGGACCUGACAACAUCCCUGGCCGUGUUCUCAAGGCCUGUGCUCCUGAACUGGCAGAGGUGUUCGCUGACAUCUUUAACCUCUCCCUGUCCCAGUCUGUCGUCCCCAAUAGCUUCAAGAGGGCCACCAUCAUCCCAGUCCCAAAGAAACCAUCAGUGAGCUGUCUCAAUGAUUACCGCCCUGUCGCACUCACCUCUGUUGUGAUGAAAUGCUUUGAGAGGUUAGUCAAAGACCACAUUACAUCCUGCCUGUCACCUGCAUUAGACCCACUCCAGUUUGCAUAUAGGCCGAACAGGUCUACAGAUGAUGCUGUAGCUUUGGCCUUGAACACUGCUCUCUCUCACCUGGAUCAGGACAACACGUACCUGCGGAUGCUCUUCAUCGACUUCAGCUCCGCCUUCAACACCAUAGUACCAUCCAGGCUCAUCAUGAAACUACAGGACCUGAACAUCAGUCCCUCCAUGUGCAGCUGGAUAUUGAACUUCCUGACAGACAGGCCACAGGCAGUACGGCUAGGUAACAUCACCUCAACUAGUCUAACACUCAGCACUGGUGCCCCAUAGGGUUGUGUGUUAAGCCCACUGUUGUACUCCCUGUUCACCUAUGAUUAUGCAGCCACUAACAGCUCCAACACCAUCAUUAAGUUUGCUGAUGACACCACCAUUAUCGGCUGCAUCAAGAAUGGUGAUGAGUCUGCCUACAGAGCAGAGGUGGCAACAAUGACAUCCUGGUGUCAGGAUAACAGCCUGCUGCUUAAUGUAGCAAAAACCAAGGAGUUGAUAGUGGACUACAAGCGGCUGCAGGGAGAACAUGCACCCAUUCACAUCGGGGGCACAGCUGUGGAGAGAGUCAAAAGUUUCAGAUUUCUUGGUAUCAACAUCAGCGAGGAUCUGAGCUGGACACACCAUAUUGGUGUGGUUACAAGGACAGCGAAACAGAGGCUUUUUUUUCUGCGGCGACUGUGGAAAUUUGGCAUGGACUG
Molecule: long non-coding RNA, 3661 nt
Organism: Clupea harengus (Atlantic herring)
Lineage: Eukaryota; Metazoa; Chordata; Actinopteri; Clupeiformes; Clupeidae
Source: Ensembl